This 253-nucleotide ribosomal RNA is filed under the name uncultured bacterium. RNAcentral describes it as "partial 16S ribosomal RNA". It matches the Rfam family "Bacterial small subunit ribosomal RNA", at positions 524 to 776 of the family's 1533-position model. The record is from RNAcentral.
UACAGAGGUCCCGAGCGUUGUUCGGAUUCACUGGGCGUAAAGGGUGCGUAGGUGGUGAGGUAAGUCGGAUGUGAAAUCUCCAAGCUCAACUUGGAAAUGGCAUUGGAAACUACCUUGCUGGAGGUUUGGAGGGGGGACUGGAAUUCUCGGUGUAGCAGUGAAAUGCGUAGAUAUCGAGAGGAACACCAGUGGCGAAGGCGGCAUCCUGGACCGACACUGACACUGAGGAGCGAAAGCCAGGGGAGCAAACGGG